This 693-nucleotide long non-coding RNA is filed under the name Gallus gallus (chicken). Its description in RNAcentral is "long non-coding RNA NONGGAT002122". The record is from RNAcentral. Lineage: Eukaryota; Metazoa; Chordata; Aves; Galliformes; Phasianidae.
GGAGCGGGGCGGGAACACGAGGCGCCCGACCAUGGCGGGAAGAUCACUUCUCCACAGCAAGCGCCUUCCGCACGGCCUCCUCAGCCUCUCUCCACACGAUGCUCCUCUCCAGAGCGCGUGUAACGCGCGUUACGAACAGCGACAGCCUGCAAGCAGCUGCCCAGCCUUUCCCCUCGGGGCUUCUGCAUGGGGAGCGGGCGGGGCGCCGAAGCAACGUGAGCCCGCGUGGCGGGCGGCCUGGCAGCGCGGCUCCCGCAGCGGCGCGGCGCCGGGAGGUCGGGGCGCGUGCUCCCCCCGGGCGGAGGGAGGGAACGCCGCAGGUGCAGCCGGGAGAAGCGGCGGACAAAGAGCGGCGGCACCUGCACUCACCAUCGGUGAAGAAGUGGUGUGCAGACCAAAGUGCAGAAAGAGGUUAAGAAAGCCAGAAAGGGAACUCAGUGGGACGUGAACUCUACAAGCCAGGUGAAUGCAGCGGUGACUGUGGCCUGAGCAGCUUGGAGCCCCUCCAAACAGCACAGUAAGUAGGUGGAUUUCGUCAGCUGGCCUUAUGCUGGCUUGAUCUUUUCCUGUUGUGCUCAGAAGUGUGGUAGGUCAACAUGGGAAGAGGGAAAGAGAGAGAAGAUUUAACCAGCACUGAUAGAUCUGUAAUUAUUUAAGCAUUCUGAGCCUGAAAUGGAAUCUAAGAAGCACACA